Molecule: long non-coding RNA, 8132 nt
Organism: Hemicordylus capensis (graceful crag lizard)
Lineage: Eukaryota; Metazoa; Chordata; Lepidosauria; Squamata; Cordylidae
Exons: 3
Source: RefSeq, a predicted model, not a curated record
UAUACAUAUAAAUAUAAUAUCUAUUUAAAAAUUUAAUAACCCAUUAAAAAUACAUAAAACACACUGACUGACUGACUGACUGACUCCCAUUCUUUGCAAAGCACCUUAGUUUUUCUUCCCUCGUUCCUUCCUUCCUUUCCCUCUCUUGUUGUUUCUUUCUUUGUCUAUUCAUUUCCCCUUCUAGCUUUCUUCCUUUUUAUUAGAAAAUUCUGGAGUAAGGGGAUGCUUUUGAAUGGGAGUGGGCUGCACUCCUCCACUAGAGCAGUGGGACACAAUGCUUAGAAUAAACUUCCUUCCUUCCUUCCUCUUUUCUUUUCUUUUCGUUUCUUUUCUUUCUUUCCAGCAUCAGGGCUCCAUUACACACAUUUGCACAUAACAUAUAUUUAGAUUCCUACACUGAAAGGAUUACCAGUACCUACCUAAUCACUAGGAUACCAAAUGCUGAAGAGUGAGUUGUUGUUGUUGUUCUUGAAAAAAUCUUCAAAUGCCAUUUCUCAACACCAGAAUUCUAAUGCAUCCAGACUGCCCCCCCACCCCACAAACAGAACAAGAGGUAACAUUCAGCAAGUGAUUCAUUAUGAAUUAUUCUUUUAGCUUUAAUGGGCAUGCUAGUUUGUUUUUCAUGGCCUGUUAACAUUCAUCUCCUCUGGACUGUUCAUGAAAGUGAACUCAUGACUUUUAAAACCAUUUGGGCUGGACUCAGACAAACAUUCAUUUAAUCUUCUGACAGGCCAUUUUUCUAAGGGUGUCUAAUUGCUAUGGCUUUCUGACAGUCAAAGACUGAGGAGGGUCAGGCACUUGCUGGCAUUCUCUAGCAGUUUGUGUUCCCAAAGCAGGCAGUUAAAAGAUGAAUACCAUUCCUCACCUAUGUUGGAAGAAUUUGCUCAUAUGGAAAAAUACAUAGAGAAGUGACUGCUGAACUUCGGAUGGUCCAGCUGCCCAAGUUACGUUGCUGCUUCUUGGACCAUCUGUCUAGAUCGCCUUCCUUGGCUUAUAUUCUAUUUUUGUCAUCUGUAAUUGACUGAUCAGUGGCAGUAAAGCUGGAUCCCAAGGCUUAAAACCUUACAGCUUUGUCCCGGUGGGCUGAUUUUAAAAGCCAAGAUUCUAUCCCAGAAUCCAAAUCUGGUCGUGAUGGUGUUUGGCUGAGAUGGGCAGACCAGGAGCUGGAGCUGCAGCACAAGUUUUUCUAAUUCAUAGUUACCCUGAUUUUCAGCCAAGAUUGGCUUACAAGGCAGCUUACAAUCAAAUGCACAAAAAGGUGCAAAUGUGGGAAUAUAUGUGUGUGUGUGUGUGUGUGUGUGUGUGUGUGUGUGUGUGUGUGUGUGUGUGUAUAUGGCAGAGUCUUCUGGUUCUUGAUGACAUAGUCUAGCCUGUUCCCUUCAGAGGAUGGAGGCAGGAAGACCAGUACCUUUAUUGGGAGAUGGUAAAGAUGCCAACCCACAGAAGCAGCCCCUCCAUUGAACUUUAUGGGGAAAUGUGCAAAUAAUUGUAAAUAAGUGAUAUUAAUAUCCCAGGUGCUUCUGGAUUCUGCCCCUCUACCCACAUAACAAUAUGCUGCAUUCCACUAAUAGUUCUGUAUAAUUAAGAUUUUGAAAGAAAUGAAAACAUCCUGUUAAUUCAUUUCAACUCUAAUCCUAGAACAGGACUUUUCAGGUUUUUGUUUUUUGUUUCGGCAAGUACCACUUUUCCAAGUAGCACCUUUGUGGUUAGUACCACUGCCACCAGAGAUGGCUGCUGUGCAUAGAAGUGUGCAGCUUGCCACACAAUUCUCCCUGUAGCGAGGGAGAGGCUUCUACAGUUGUUGUUGUUGUUGCUGCCUCCUGAACUCUCCUCUGUUCUCAAGCUUCUUUCCUUCCUUGCCCACCUGUACCCCUUUGGAAGGGUCAGGGCCACAGUAACCCAUAGCUUGCUGCCAGUAUUGGGGGUUGUUACUUUUACCCCCUGCAGGUAAACAGCAGAGCACUAAGGAAGAGAGCACACACGCAAGUUACAGAGUAGGUUGCAGAGGGUGGUUUAGUUGUCGCAGCUAUUUAGAGAAGACACAUGGAGAUUCUUGUAGAACUGAAUACUAAGUAUCCUGCUGUGAUGCCCUCAGUGGGUUCUUUGCGGAUAAAAUCUCCUGUAUUCGGGCCGACUUGGAUUCCACUUUUUCUGCAGAGUCUAUGGAGGAGGUGUCCAGCAAUCCUUCUUGAAGUGUUAGGUUGGAUCAGUUCCAAUCUGUGAUUCCUGAGGAUGUGGACAAGCUGCUUUGAGUGGUGCAGUCCACCAUUUGUUCUCUGGACCCUUGCCCAACUUGGCUGCUUCGAUCUAGCAGGGAGAUUAUUCGAGGAGGCCUUCUGAAUAUCAUAAAUGAAUUGCUGAGGGACAGUAAAGUGCCUCCAUGCUUGCAGGAGGCGAUAAUUAGACCUUUUCUUAAGAAGCCUUCCCUGGAUCCCUCGGCGAUGGAUAGUUAUAGGCCAAUCUCUAAUCUCCCUUGGUUGGGCAAGGUGAUAGAGAGGGUGGUGGCUGACCAGCUCCAGGCGGUUUUGGAGGAAACUGAUUAUCUAGAACCAUUUCCAACUGGCUUUAGAGCGGGCUAUAGGAUUGAGUCAGCCUUGGUCGGCCUGAUGGAUGACCUAUACUGGGGAAGCGACAGAGGGACUGUGACUCUGUUGGUUCUCUUGGAUCUCUCAGCGGCGUUCAAUACCAUUGACCAUGGUAUCCUUCUGGGUUGAUUGGAAGAGUUGGGGAUAGGAGGCACUGCUCUGCAGUAGUUCCGCUCCUAUCUCUCGAGUAGAUUCCAGAUGGUGGAGCUUGGUAACAGUUGCUCUUCAAAACUGGAGCUGCUAUAUGGAGUCCCUCAGGGCUCCAUUCUGUAACCAAUGCUUUUCAAUAUCUACAUGAAUCCGCUGGGUGAGGUCAUCAGGAGAUUUGGUGCUGGGUGUCAUCAGAAUGCUGAUGACACCCAAAUCUACUACUCUGUUUCAUCUGCUUCAGCAGGAAAUGGCGUUAAUUCCCUAAAUGCCUGCCUGCAGGCAGUAAUGGGCUGGAUGAGGGAUAACAAAUUGAAGCUGAAUCCAAGCAAGAUGGAGGUGCUCAUUGUAGGGGCUCAGAAUCUGAGGGAUGAGUUAGAUCUCCCUGUGCUGGUUGGUGUUACACUCCCCCGGAAGGAACAGGUGUGCAGCUUGGAGGUACUCCUGGAUUCAGACUUCACCCUGGUAUCUCAGGUGGAGGCUGUGGCCAGGAGUGCUUUUUAUCAGCUUAGGCUGCUCCGACAGCUGCGUCCAUUCCUUGAGGAGGAUGACCUCAGAACAGUGGUGCACCAGCUGGUAACCUCCAGGCUUGACUACUGUAAUGCACUCUAUGUGGGGCUGCCUCUGUAUGUAGUUCGGAAACUUCAGUUAGUUCAAAAUGUGGCAACCAGGCUGGUCUCUGGGGCAACUCGGAGAGACCAUAUUACGUAUGUUCUAAAACAGCUGCAUUGGCUGCCGAUACGUUUCCAGGCAAAAUACAAAGUGCUGGUUAUUGUCAGGGUCUCGACCGGACUUGGCUGCACGCUGUCGACAUAUAGUGACGAAUGUUGUUUUUCAGCAGGGAGUAGCCGGCUGACCACGUGAUAUAUAGUGCAAGCCAUGAGAGCUCCCAGCUGGCAGGGAUUUAAGGCUUAUCAGCCCUCUGCAAUAGGCGUUUGCUUUUCCUAAGAGUCUCUAAUUGAUCCCUGCGUCUAGUGACACGCCGCUGUUGGGGGGUCAGCAGGGGGUUGGUUACAUAGCUCUUUUUCCAAUUGGUCUUUCACGAUUUCUGCUGCCUCAGGUUGUUGUGCCUGCUCAGAGUCAUUAUCCACAGCUGUUUCAUGAAUACUGACAGCCCCUCAGUAUUCUAUACUCUGCCCCUCAAGACACUCCUGCAUCGACUGGAAAGUUGACAGCUUCCCCUUCCUCCUCGCUGUCGGAGAUCGAGGGCAUGACAGUUAUUACCUUUAAAGCCCUGAACAGCUUAGGUUCAGGUUACCUUAGAGAGCACCUUCUUUGGUCUGAUCCUCACCACAUGCUAAGUUCAUCUGAGGAGGUCCGGCUCCAGUUGCCACCAGCUCGUCUUGUAGUGAUGCAGAGGUGGGCCUUCUCUGUAGCCGCUCCUAGAUUGUGGAAUGUGCUCCCUGCAGAAAUCCGUAAUUUGAAUUCUUUCUUGGCAUUUAGGAAAGCCCUAAAGACCUACCUGUUCGGCCUGACCUUCCGGGGUUUUUUAAUUGUUUUAAAGAGUUUUCAAUGUAUCGGGUUUUUAUAAGGUUUUGAAUAGUUUUAUUUUUAGCUGUUUUAUUGUAUUUUAAAAUUUUUAUUCCUGAUCGAUUGAUUUUAACUGUUUUAUCAUGUUUGUGAACUGCCCUGAGCUAUUCUGUAAGGGCAGUCUAAAAAUAUAAAUAAAUAAAUAAAUAAAUAAAUAAAUAAAUAAAUAUUGGUUAAGUACACUUGGAUAGGAAAGACCUAAUCCUAAUCUAAAGGACUACAUCAUGAAUAGGUAAGGAGAUAGAUAGAUGUUUCCAUCUACUCUCUAAGAGGAAAGGAAGGAUUGUAACUCAGCACAGAAAGUGCUGCAGAGUCAAUUCAGGGGUCAUAGAGUAGGGACAGAUAGGGAGACCCUUACUCACUGUCUCUACUCCCAAUGCCCCUAGUGGACGUUAGGAUAGUUGGUGCAAAAGGUCGAUGCCCUGGAACUCCAUUUCCAACUGCCCAUGCAGUGCCACACCAUCAUCUCCACUUCCAGCAGGGUUGGCCAGACAGAGCAGUGCUAUGUCACCAUGACAGUGAGGUGAAGGCCCACCAGCUCUACUGUGAAUGACCACCAGUGGUACUGACAGCACCGGUUGAGAAGCACUGCCCUAAAACUAUACAUAGAAGGAAGCCCUCUGGAUUCAGCAGAACUUGCCUCAACAUAUUCGCCACCAUCAACUGCAAAACUAGUUCUGAGCAUGUCCAGGAGACUUUGGUUUCCCACAAACAGCAGUUCCCCACAGUGCAUGGAAAGUUGCUUUUAAAAUUCAGGGAAGUUUUGAAAAUGAUUUCUGAUGUGGCACAGAAGACUACUAUUGCAGAGUGAAAACAUGAGACGUCUCAAAUUGGCAGACACAUACACACAAGUGUGUUCAGCCCAACUAAGAGCCCCCUCAGUGGCUUAGGUAUGCUUUUUUUUUUUAAAGCUUUCUUGAUUGUGACUAAUGUCUUACAGCAAGAGGUAAGAAAGAGAUUGUUAGGGCCAAACUAGAUGAGAUGCCUGGAGAUCUGUGAUCAGAUAUAUAGGGAUAUUUUUCCCUAGUUCAAAGCAGCAGAGUGGGAGAUCCAAUCAGAUCAGGGAAGGAACAUAGUGGGAGGAUGUUUAACUAUUCCUGCAUCAUUUCUCCAGUUUAAAUUGUUCCACGUGGGAAAACAUACAGGCAUCAUACUGGACUUUAGAAGUCAUCUGUGCGAAAACCCUCCUUUCAUUAUGAAUCAUAAUUCUAAAUUUGUAGCCAGAACUAUAGGUAAAGCAGUUUCUUCCAGAAGGGAGAAGCUUUGCUGUAGACCAGGCCUACUCAAUGUACCCACCCACCCCGUUUUUGAACUACAACUCCCAUAAUCCCCAGCCACAGUGGCCAAUAGCCAGGGAUUAUGGGGAAAGUAGGCCAACAUCUGCAGGAGGGCCGAAGUUGAGCAGCCCUGCUGCAGACCAAGAAAGCAAUAAAAAUAUUGUAUUCUCAGCGCCAGUCUAGAUGUGUUAAGAACAUGCCUUGCUUGACCAGGUGAGGCUUCAGGAAAGGCCUUGAGGAUCUGAAGGGUAGAGGUGACCUUCUUAAUGUGCAGACUUAAGUGUCCAGGGAGCCAGUGGAGUAGCAAGCUUGGAAGGGGCCUGUGUGCAAGAAUUGAACAUGGGCCCCAUCAGAUAAUUUCCCCAUAGGGAUCAAUGGGAAACUAAAAAAAAUCAAUAACUCUUAACAAUUAUCAGCAUUCUCUCCAAACUCGAACUCCCAGGAUAGGACUGGUAUUAAACAUGUAUGUGUUUGUUGUAGUGUAGAUAGAUGCUCACCAGCUACAUUUGUCUCUAGUGCUUAAGGAUGACACUUUGCCCCCACCUCUGCAGGUGGCAAUUCUGACAUUGCCUGUGGCUGUUGAGCAUCAUAACAGUUGAGCAUCUGUUAUGAUGAUCUCAUUAUCUCCUUGGUGAUAGCUAAAGCUCUGUCACCAAGCUUUAACCAUCCAGGUGUGGAAGAUGCAUGAAGAGAAGCAGCAUCUCACAGGGGCAGCUUGGCUCUCCUCCUUGUAUCUCAAAAAUAGGUGGGAUAAUCAUGGCAAACUUGUGCUCCUUUUAACUAUACAAAUGAGUGGUAAAGGCUGCCAGGUAAGAAGUAUCUUUUUGUUAUUUUCUCAGAAGCCAUACAGGCUCUAUUCAGGGUGAUCAUACUUUGUUUUAAAAAUGACUGAUCUGAUGGUAUUCCAACCAGGGUAGGUGUGGGUUGUUUGUUCUGUUUUCUAUAAAUUGCAUAGAUAAACAUUUACCAUUCUUUAAUAGCAAAUUAUAUGUGUAGUUUAUACUUUUUCCAAAAUUCAAAUGAUCCAGGUCACCUCUGGGGGGCAAAAGUUUUGGCAUAGAAAUGUAGCUAUUGGUGAUGAGUCUGGGUUUAAAAUUGAAACCUGGAAAGGUUUUUUAAAAAUAAUAGAUUCUGCCAAGUUUAAGAAAAUAAACUCAUAAAAAUUGUGAUGCAAGGCAAGGAACAUAACUUGUUGCACUGUUUCAGAAAAAGGGAAGCGAAAAACAUCACUAACACAUAGCUAAGUGCUUUAUUGCUUUAAAAAGUAGCCUUUUGGUUUCUUUUCUAUACAAUGAGAAGUAACACCAUCAUAAUGUACUUUUAUUAGCAGGAAAUGAAAUGCAUUAUUUUCAAUCAGUUUAAGAAAGCAAAGAACUCAUACAAAAAGUCCUAUGAUACACAUUGAUGCACUGUUCAGAGAUCAUAGGUGGUCACCACCAUCAUGGAGAUUGAAAGGUAAUUUUCCAGUUUACACGGAACUACAAACUAUCUGUUCUCUCAAGAAAAAAAGAGAUACUUCACCAAUGGAGGUGUGCCCGGCCAGCCGGUAGAGUGCUGAGAGAAGCCAGGGGCUCCAGACGCAAGAGGCUGCAGAUUGAUGGACAGGGACUAGCCAGGAAAGCAGCUCCACAGCUGCAAGCAGCUGGAGGAAUGAUAAGGCAGGAGACGGAGUUGGGGAAUGAGCCCCUGUGGAGGCCAGGGACUGGGUGUCCAGGACACGUGCCUGGCCAGGGAAGAUGGAGCUGGCCGAAAGCAGGGAGGAGUGUCCAACAUGCAGGGAUUUAAUUAAGGCAGAGGCUGCCGAGGACGAGCAGAUCAGUCGGGACAGGGUUUGUGAGCCUGACAGUCUCCCGGAGAGGGGCUCAGGCUUUUGGCUUCCACUGAUAGGGGAAGGCGGGGAGUGAAUAAACUUCCUCCCUUCCCCAACUCUGAGGCAACGCCCAUGCCUAUAAUUCACUGCAGGAGAGCAGAAAGGGCACUUUGGAGAAUUCCUCCUCCCAAAAGCUGGACAAAUGCAUAAUACAAUUUGUAUUUACUGUAUUUAUUUACUUACUGUACUUACUAAUUUACUAUGUGUGGAUGAUCACUCCAUAUUUAUUUUAUGAAACCUUUUAACACAUGUGGAAGGAUCUAGACAGUUACUCAAGAACAGAAAAUGUUCCAGAGGAAACAAACGAUGUAACUACAGUUACUACAGAAGUAGGAUUAUCCUUGGCUUAAGGAGCAGUUGUCUCAAAACUCUUGACUAGUAGGAGAACUGAUGUAAAUAAACCAUCCACCAAAUCCAAUCCCUGCCACCAUCCUGCAUUCAAAUUACACAAAUCCCAAGAUUUCUGCAGUAGAAUAAAUUUACAAAAUUAAGUUAUAUGAAACAAAUAUGAACUUUCUGUUCAAGCUGCAAAAACAGAGGCACCUGAGCUGUUGCAUUUGUCUUUGGUAGGAUAGGUUAGUUACAGCACCUGUCUGACUUUUGUCAUACACCGGAUCUUUAUGUGCAUUGUCCAUUUAUUCCAUUCUGAAAGUUCCUGUGCCAUUAAUCAAUCUACUUGUUAAUAUGAUAUUAGUAAUAAAUAAAGUAUUUUCAUCAGCUGAC